This 486-nucleotide ribosomal RNA is filed under the name uncultured bacterium. Its description in RNAcentral is "partial 16S ribosomal RNA". It matches the Rfam family "Bacterial small subunit ribosomal RNA", at positions 30 to 507 of the family's 1533-position model. The record is from RNAcentral.
AUUGAACGCUGGCGGCAUGCCUUACACAUGCAAGUCGAACGGCAGCACGGGUGCUUGCACCUGGUGGCGAGUGGCGAACGGGUGAGUAAUACAUCGGAACAUGUCCUGUAGUGGGGGAUAGCCCGGCGAAAGCCGGAUUAAUACCGCAUACGAUCUACGUGUGAAAGCGGGGGACCUUCGGGCCUCGCGCUAUAGGGUUGGCCGAUGGCUGAUUAGCUAGUUGGUGGGGUAAAGGCCUACCAAGGCGACGAUCAGUAGCUGGUCUGAGAGGACGACCAGCCACACUGGGACUGAGACACGGCCCAGACUCCUACGGGAGGCAGCAGUGGGGAAUUUUGGACAAUGGGCGAAAGCAUGAUACAGCAAUGCCGCGUGUGUGAAGAAGGCCUUCGGGUUGUAAAGCACUUUUGUCCGGAAAGAAAUCCUUGGCCCUAAUACGGUCGGGGGAUGACGGUACCAGAAGAAUAAGCACCGGCUAACUACGUG